CGGACGGGUGAGUAAUGUCUGGGAAACUGCCUGAUGGAGGGGGAUAACUACUGGAAACGGUAGCUAAUACCGCAUAACGUCGCAAGACCAAAGAGGGGACCUUACGGGCCUCUUGCCAUCGGAUGUGCCCAGAUGGGAUUAGCUAGUAGGUGGGGUAACGGCUCACCUAGGCGACGAUCCCUAGCUGGUCUGAGAGGAUGACCAGCCACACUGGAACUGAGACACGGUCCAG
RNAcentral lists this ribosomal RNA (232 nucleotides) under uncultured bacterium. Its description in RNAcentral is "partial 16S ribosomal RNA". It matches the Rfam family "Bacterial small subunit ribosomal RNA", at positions 99 to 334 of the family's 1533-position model. The record is from RNAcentral.